CCCUUAGAUGUCCUGGGCCGCACGCGCGCUACACUGAGUGUCUGAGAUACGAGUCUGCCUGGUCCGGCAAGGUCUAGGUAAUCGCUAAAAGACACAUCAUGCUUGGGAUAGAUUAUUGCAAAUAUUAAUCUUGAACGAGGAAUUCCUAGUAAGCGCAAGUCAACAGCUUGCGUUGAUUACGUCCCUGCCCUUUGUACACACCGCCCGUCGCUACUACUGAUUGAGUGAUCCGGUGAAUAAUUCGGACUGCAGCAGUGCUUGGUCCUCCGGGCUUUGCAGCGGAAAGUUUAGUGAACCUUAUCACUUAGAGGAAGGAGAAGUCGUAACA
This 328-nucleotide ribosomal RNA is filed under the name uncultured eukaryote. RNAcentral's name for it is "partial 18S ribosomal RNA". It matches the Rfam family "Eukaryotic small subunit ribosomal RNA", at positions 1470 to 1796 of the family's 1831-position model. The record is from RNAcentral.